RNAcentral lists this long non-coding RNA (871 nucleotides) under Linum usitatissimum (flax). RNAcentral describes it as "long non-coding RNA (LUSI_LNC006677)". Lineage: Eukaryota; Viridiplantae; Streptophyta; Magnoliopsida; Malpighiales; Linaceae. The record is from RNAcentral.
CGAUUUUCACGAUUCUCCCUGAGUUUACUCUCAAAUUGACAGCUUCCUUCCUGAUUUUUCUCUCAAAUGGACAACCUCCUCUCUGAUCUUUCUCUCAAAUUGAUCAUCUCCUUUUUCUCAUCAUCUCCCAGCCUAUCUCGCCUCUGAUCAUCUCCCAGCCUAUCUCGCCUCUGAUCAUCUCCCUUUCUUCAUCAUCAUCCUCAUUCCUCACCAUCUCCUUCUAACAACAUCUCCAGCUCAGAUUUCGAUUCGGCGUAAGUCACGGCGUCAAACGAAUCGAUGUCAUCAACAUGCUCGUCGUCCACAUCGCGUCAGAAUUUUCCAGAUCUAAGAAGUUAACGGCGGCUGGUGAGUCAACAGAGGAGUUGAAAUGCUCGCUGCCACUGCUCUCGCAAAUCUGAGUCGUUGUUUUCCAGUUCAUAACCAGUGAAGGUUCAAGAUCAACGAUUGAUCGAUCUAGAUCGAUCAAAUUGGUCUGAUUUCGUACAUGGAAAGAUAACGAUUUCGAGUUCAAUUCAAAUUCGGCAAAUCGAAUUAAAAUCAAUCGGGGACAGUUUUGUCCGGAUUCGAAUUUGGUUUUAAAAUCGAGCAACCGGAUUCGACCGAAUUACUGAGUCCUAAGUCUAAAUAAUGCAAAGUGUAGUUAACUCUUGUCUCCUUGUUUUUUACCUUCCAAUUCUUCAAUUGUAAUAUAAUGGGCAUCGAAAGAGGCAUAAACAUAAUGUAAUAGACUUAGAAAGGAGAUAUAUAUAAAUUGCACAUUAUCUGGUGACAUAAUACACGUACAAUUACAAAAAGAAAAUAAUAACUGUAUACUCUAAGUGACAUAAUGAUGAUGUAAUUUAAAUCACUUAUAAUAUGAACAUUACAG